UGCCGCCAAUUAAUUAUUCGCCCACCAUUAAAACACCUCCGCCCCCUUCGCGACCUCCUCAGUCCUCCUCCCCAACUCCUCUCCAUAUCUCCACCCUCCGUCUUCCUCCCUUGCCUCCCUCGUCUCAUCUACUCCCGCUCCAGUAUAUCCGUACCUUCCCCUUCCUCGCCGUCGUGACACCCACCAAACCACACCUGAACUGCCCAUUUUCCUUUUUUUCCCCUCGCGUGAGGCGUAACCGGUGUGUCGUGGUCGUGGGGGGCGGUUUCGGCCGGGGGAAGCGCGGCGGAACCGGGAGCGUUUCAGAAUUCAGACCGGCCGACUGGUUCCUGGUGCCACGGGGACGGCGCCGCGAGAUCGCAUUGUGGCGGACGCGGCCGGGUCGCCGCGGCAUUUUGCUCUUGCGGUCGGGUCCGUGGCUGCUCGAGGCGUUUGCUUGUUUGUUUCUCUUCUCUCUUGUGGGCGGGCGGCGAGCGGGGCUCGAGGUUGGUGGCCAGCCAAGCGCAGCUCCUCCUUUUCGCGGUCGCCUUUGCUGGUGACUGGUGGGGAAGGGAUGCGCCUUGCCUUUCCGCCGCCUCGGCGUGGCGUGAUUCCGAAGCGUUGCCGGGAUUGUACUGGUUUCUUCUGGUAGAUAUAGAAAAACACCGCAUCCUUUUGGAGGCCUCGUCCCAGCUGACACGAAGGUUCCUCCCGGACAAUGCCGAGCAUACGAGCUCCGGCGUCCAAGCAGACGGCCACGCUACAGGUGGCUGUCAAGUGCAGGCCAUUGACCGACACCGAGCAGCGGCGCUCGCGGCAUAUCAUACAGGUCAUUGAUGACAAGACUGUGGUUGUGCUGGACCCUGAUCUGUCAAAGGACUACCUGGACCUCAUCCAGAACCGGACCAAGGAAAGGAGAUAUACCUUCGAUCAUGUGUACGCGCCUGGAUGCUCCAAUUCGGACGUGUAUAGGAAUAUAUCCUCUACAAUUGCUGGUGUAGUCCAAGGCCUCAAUGCGACAGUCUUUGCUUAUGGUUCUACUGGAAGUGGCAAAACUUACACUAUGGUUGGAACCCAUAGCGAUCCUGGCCUGAUGGUUCUUAGCUUUCGUACAAUUUUUGAGCUGAUAAAAAAGAACGACAGUAAGGAUACAUUUGAAGUUUCAUGUUCAUAUCUGGAAGUGUACAAUGAGGUUAUCUAUGAUUUGCUUGAGAGAUCCUCUGGACACCUGGAGCUUCGAGAAGAUCCUGAGCAUGGCAUAAUAGUUGCUGGAUUGAGAAGCAUUAAGGUUCACUCUGCAGAUAGGAUUCUUGAGCUGUUGAACAUAGGCAACAGUAGGCGCAAGACAGAGAGUACAGAAGCAAAUGCCACUUCUUCACGGUCACAUGCUGUGCUUGAGAUUACCGUAAAGCGAAAGCAGAAAGGUCAAUAUGGUAACCAAGUUCUUCGUGGAAAACUUGCCUUGGUUGAUCUUGCGGGCAGUGAGAGGGCCACCGAAACAAACAACUUUGGGCAAAAGCUUAGAGAUGGAGCCAACAUCAAUCGGUCACUCCUAGCAUUAGCAAACUGCAUCAAUGCCCUAGGCAAGCAAAACAAGAAAGGUCUUGCCUAUGUUCCCUAUCGCAACAGUAAAUUAACUCGAAUUCUAAAGGAUGGGCUAUCUGGUAAUUCUCGAACUGUUAUGGUUGCUACAAUAUCACCAGCUGAUGAUCAGUAUCAUCACACAACAAAUACACUCAAGUACGCAGACCGUGCUAAAGAGAUAAAAACACAUGUCCAUAAAAAUAUUGGAACACUUGACACUCAUGUUGAAGACUAUCAGAGGAUGAUCGACAAUCUUCAGGUUGAGGUUUCUCAGUUGAAAAAGGAAUUAGCUGAGAAGGAGCAUCAAUUAAGUGUAAAGCCUACUGAAAAAGCUGCAGAUAGUGAGCUAUCUUGGUUAAAUGUGUUGAGCCAGGAAACUGGUGAGAAUGUUCAAGAACGCAUAAAUCUUCAGAAGGCUCUGUUUGAACUCGAAGAAACCAAUAAGCGCAACCGAAUGGAACUCCAACAUCUUGACGAUUCUAUUGCAAGGCAUCAGGUGAAAGAAAUGGACUCUGCAGUUCUCCAAGCUUUAACAUCAAGGAGACAAGUCAUUCUUGACAACAUCCGUGAUAAUGAUGAAGCUGGUUCUGGAUAUAGAAAGGACAUUGAAAUGAAUGAGAGUCGCAGGCGAGAACUCCAGGAUAUGAUUGAAGAAGCCGUCAGUAACAAUGGCAAUAAAACCUACCUGCACAUUCUCAGCCAGUACAGACUACUUGGAAUGACUAAUGCUGAGCUUCAAAUUGAAAUGGCUAUGCGGGAUCAAGUUAUACAUAAUCAGAGGGAAGCUCUAAGGAGCCUGUGGAACAUUCUCUAUGGAACGGGGCUAAACCAGAAGCAGAUUCUAAAAUUGGCUGCAAAGCAAGGGUUAACCGUAGAAGGAUGUCCUUUGCCUAGCUCAAGCCCAGAUGUUACCACGCCACCUUCCUUUUCACCUCAUAGGCGGUUUCCAUCGUUUAUGUCAUUUCCUAGUCCGCAGUCAGAGUCUUACUCUCCGUCUGCUUGCUUUUUCCAACAUGGUUUCAGCACUAUGUCUUUGCUGAAAAAUCAGCAUGAGACACCCACCAUAUGUAGGCAGGAGCACCUCAGUUCUUACUACAUGAUGUCUGGCUGCUCGCCUUACUCUGGUGAUGGAAAACAGUGGUCAAGUGGAAGACCUAUGACAUUCUUUUCUACACCAGAAAAACCUAAGGAAGUGAGCAGUGUAUACCGGGAAACAGAGAAUGCACAGUCCCAACACAAGAAGGAACAUUCUGGCAGUCAUGAUUUCAGUGUGCAUAGAAAGGUAAACUGUUUCCUUUACACGAGCUGCUAAAAAAAGUGUCAUAAUGCAUAUCACGCCAUGUAAACAUAGUUCAUCUAUCAAGAAUCCAAAGGGAAAAAGAAAACAAGAAAAGGAUCUGUGGUCCAUGGAAAGGAAAUGACGGGCCUCGAGAUCCUUCUGGUACACAAACAUCUGUGAUGGCUACAAUGUGGCCCUGUCUGAUGUUCCUAACCUUGGUCGCUGUGUGCACCAUCUUCUGUCUACCACCGACGUUUCCCGGGGUUCCUGAGAUCUGAAGAGAUGUUAGUAGUAGAUUUCGCCGGAGCUGUUGCCUUGCCCACGGCCAUUUUGAUUGAUCCUGCUGACAUUGCUCACUCCACCCUGUACAGUAGUAGAUGCUAGUCCUCUCCUCAAGAUAUCUGUCUCCGUCUUCCUUUGUAAAGUGGUUGCUGGGGGGUGAAUCUGAUUUUUGGACCAAGAACUCUGUAAAUUUGCCGCGGUUCUCUCCCUUCUUCAGUAAAUCCAAUGAGAAAAGCUUUCAGAUUGGUCUUCAGGUUCAGUAUACUAAUAAUCCUCUACAUGCUGGUAUGACAAGCUGCCUGAUGCCAAAUCUGCCGGGUGAUUAUCAGGAUAGAGUUGGGUGAUUGAUGAACAGGCAAGAGCUACAGUAGCAUGUGGUGGGAAUAAUAGGAUCUCAUCUCCCCUCUCCAGAUCAUUGAAUAAGCCCUGCUGACGCUCACCUGCCCUGGAGACCACAUUCAAGCAGGAGCAGCGCUGGGCAUGGUCCUCCUCUCUCAUUCAUGUUUCCUGCACAACAGUUGCGCUGAAUGCUACGCUGGAGCGGCGGCAGGCAGAGGCAGCCGAGGCCGCACGGCGCGCACAUCGCAGUCGCAUUACACAUUCCACAUGCCUGGCUUGUAGCUUGUCACCGGCGCAACCAAAGGGCUGGCCCUGACUGACAUUCCGUUCCGGUGGCUUUGAGAUAUUGCAAGAUUGCGAUUGCAAAGGUGGUGUGACAGUGACACAUCCUUCAUCCUUGUAUAGAUUAGCACAGUUGCUCAGCAGGUUUAUUACUGUGGUAAGAUGAUAGUGAGACAGGGAUUACCGCAAAACACGAGCGAGUGGAGUGGAGUACUGGAGUAGCCAUGCGUUGUAUUGUAGAGACAGUGACAGUGACACAUCCUUCAUCCUUGUAGAGACUGUAGGCUGUGGGAUCUGGCAGGCAAACUAGCCUGGCCCAUUGGCCAUGGCGUCUGUAGGCGUGCGGUGCUGAACAGCUGCAUCGGUGGUGGGUGAGGGCGUCAGGUUCAGGCCCGUGGUGAAAGGCUGAACAGAAGAAGGCGUGCAAGCCGUGACCUACAGACCUCAGACCUGCAACUGCAUACGGGGGCAGAGGCCAAUGCUUUCCUGCCCUGCCGGAGUCUACAGGACUGCACUGACAGCUCGUGGGCUACGGCAACUCGCAGCGUUUUUAUUAUCUGCUGCUAAUGCUAAUGGUACUACUUCAACUGUCACUGGAGGAGGUCGUCAUGGUUUUCACGUGAGGGAAUGCAUGUAUCUACAGGCCAUAGCAUGGUGUGUUAACCUGUUCCUAAGACUUUUCGUAGUGGACUUGUUCGUGCCUGA
This is an RNA transcript of Sorghum bicolor (sorghum), 4450 nucleotides long. It is a transcript of the gene named kinesin-like protein KIN-8B, with no coding region annotated. The record is from RefSeq and is a predicted model, not a curated record. The transcript has 16 exons. Lineage: Eukaryota; Viridiplantae; Streptophyta; Magnoliopsida; Poales; Poaceae.